This 447-nucleotide ribosomal RNA is filed under the name uncultured bacterium. RNAcentral describes it as "partial 16S ribosomal RNA". It matches the Rfam family "Bacterial small subunit ribosomal RNA", at positions 29 to 523 of the family's 1533-position model. The record is from RNAcentral.
AACGAACGCUGGCGGCAGGCUUAACACAUGCAAGUCGAGCGCCCCGCAAGGGGAGCGGCAGACGGGUGAGUAACGCGUGGGAAUCUACCCAUCCCUACGGAAUAGCUCCGGGAAACUGGAAUUAAUACCGUAUACGCCCUACGGGGGAAAGAUUUAUCGGGGAUGGAUGAGCCCGCGUUGGAUUAGCUAGUUGGUGGGGUAAAGGCCUACCAAGGCGACGAUCCAUAGCUGGUCUGAGAGGAUGAUCAGCCACAUUGGGAUUGAGACACGGCCCAAACUCCUACGGGAGGCAGCGGGGGGGAAUAUGGGAAAAGGGGGGCAACCCUGAUCCAGCCGUGCCGGGUGAGUGAUGAGGGCCUUAGGGUUGAAAAGCUCUUUCACCGGGGAAGAUAAUGCCGGUACCCGGAGAAGAAGCCCCGGCUAACUUCGUGCCAGCCGCCGCAGUAA